GCUGGGUGUAGUGGUGUGCACCUGUAAUUCCAGCAACUUGGGAUGCUGAGGCAGGAGGACUGCAAGUUUGAGGCCAGCCUCAA
RNAcentral lists this small RNA (83 nucleotides) under Marmota monax (woodchuck). Lineage: Eukaryota; Metazoa; Chordata; Mammalia; Rodentia; Sciuridae. The record is from RNAcentral.